RNAcentral lists this transfer RNA (73 nucleotides) under Caldifarciminota bacterium. Its description in RNAcentral is "tRNA-Met". It matches the Rfam family "tRNA". Rfam says of the family: Transfer RNA (tRNA) molecules are approximately 80 nucleotides in length. The record is from RNAcentral. Lineage: Bacteria; Pseudomonadati; Caldifarciminota.
GCCGGCUUAGCUCAGUUGGUAGAGCAAUGGAAUCAUAAUCCAUGUGUCGGGGGUUCGACUCCCUCAGCCGGCA